CGCGUAGGUGGUAGUGUAAGUCUGAGGUGGAAUCCCAGGGCUUAACCCUGGAACUGCCUUGGAAACUGCAUUACUUGAGUCAGUGAGGGGAGGGCAGAAUUCCUGGUGUAGCGGUGAAAUGCGUAGAUAUCAGGAGGAAGGCCUGUGGCGAAGGCGGCCCUCUGGUGCUGGACUGACACUGAGGCGCGAAAGCGUGGGGAGCAAACAGGAUUAGAUACCCUGGUAGUCCACGCCCUAAACGGUGGGCACUAGGUGUAGGGCUCGUAAGGGUUCUGUGCCGAAGGGAAACCAUUAAGUGCCCCGCCUGGGGAGUACGGCCGCAAGGUUGAA
Molecule: ribosomal RNA, 330 nt
Filed under: uncultured bacterium
Lineage: Bacteria
Description: bacterial SSU rRNA
Rfam family: Bacterial small subunit ribosomal RNA
Source: RNAcentral